CUCCGGGUGAUCCCGCCGGACCCGACUGCUAUCAGAGUGAGAUUAAGCCAUGCGAGUUAACGUAGCAAUACGUGGCGCACGGCUCAGUAACACGUAGUCAACAUGCCCAGAGGACGUGGAUAACCUCGGGAAACUGAGUCUAAACCGCGAUAAGUGAGGAUUUCUGGAAUGGUUCCUGACUAAAAUCUAUAUGGCCUCUGGAUUGGACUGCGGCCGAUCAGGCUGUUGGUGAGGUAAUGGCCCACCAAACCUGUAACCGGUACGGGCUCUGAGAGGAGGAGCCCGGAGAUGGGCACUGAGACAAGGGCCCAGGCCCUAUGGGGCGCAGCAGGCGCGAAAUCUCUGCAAUAGGCGAAAGCCUGACAGGGUUACUCUGAGUGAUUUCCGUUAAGGAGAUCUUUUGGCACCUCUAAAAAUGGUGCAGAAUAAGGGGUGGGCAAGUCUGGUGUCAGCCGCCGCGGUAAUACCAGCACCCCGAGUGGUCGGGACGUUUAUUGGGCCUAAAGCAUCCGUAGCCGGUUCUACAAGUCUUCCGUUAAAUCCACCUGCUUAACAGAUGGGCUGCGGAAGAUACUAUAGAGCUAGGAGGCGGGAGAGGCAAGCGGUACUCGAUGGGUAGGGGUAAAAUCCGUUGAUCCAUUGAAGACCACCAGUGGCGAAGGCGGCUUGCCAGAACGCGCUCGACGGUGAGGGAUGAAAGCUGGGGGAGCAAACCGGAUUAGAUACCCGGGUAGUCCCAGCUGUAAACGAUGCAGACUCGGUGAUGAGUUGGCUUCUUGCCAACUCAGUGCCGCAGGGAAGCCGUUAAGUUUGCCGCCUGGGGAGUACGGUCGCAAGACUGAAACUUAAAGGAUUUGGCGGGGAGCA
Molecule: ribosomal RNA, 867 nt
Filed under: uncultured archaeon
Lineage: Archaea
Description: bacterial SSU rRNA
Rfam family: Archaeal small subunit ribosomal RNA
Source: RNAcentral